CACUGCGGCCACCCGGCUUGCUGCCUUCCUGGGCGCCACUCCCCCAGGCGACCCGACGCGACGCGCCAGUAGCGCAGCAUCGAUUCCUCUCGGGCUCUUGGGCGCUGCUCUGAGCAGCGUCACCCUUUACACCAGAAAGCUGGCGGGCACUAUGGGGAAAAAACAAAACAAGAAGAAAGUGGAGGAGGUGCUAGAAGAGGAGGAAGAGGAAUAUGUGGUGGAAAAAGUUCUCGACCGUCGAGUGGUAAAGGGCAAAGUGGAGUACCUCCUAAAGUGGAAGGGGUUCUCAGAUGAGGACAACACAUGGGAGCCAGAAGAAAACCUGGAUUGCCCCGACCUCAUUGCUGAGUUUCUGCAGUCACAGAAAACAGCACAUGAGACAAAUCAGAGGGAGGCAAGCGCAAAGCUGAUUCUGAUUCUGAAGAUAAGGGAGAGGAGAGCAAACCAAAGAAGAAGAAAGAAGAGUCAGAAAAGCCACGAGGCUUUGCUCGAGGUUUGGAGCCGGAGCGGAUUAUUGGAGCUACAGACUCCAGUGGAGAGCUCAUGUUUCUGAUGAAAUGGAAAAACUCUGAUGAGGCUGACCUGGUCCCUGCCAAGGAAGCCAAUGUCAAGUGCCCACAGGUUGUCAUAUCCUUCUAUGAGGAAAGGCUGACGUGGCAUUCCUACCCCUCGGAGGAUGAUGACAAAAAAGAUGACGAGAAUUAACGCUCCUGAGUACCAGCCCCUGUCACAUCUGACUGGGUUUCAAGUGGGAAGGGAAGGAGUUCUACUUGUCUUGACACCAUAGAGGUGGCUUGAGAAGAUGUCCUUGAAGAGCCAGUACAGUUUCUGUGCCCUGCAGCAGUCCAAGUGCUUUAAAGCCAUUUCAAGCUGUAUAGUUUGCACACCCAUCCCAGUGGAGGGGAAAGGGGGUAAGUGUUUCAAGGCAACCUUUUCUGCACUUUGCUGAGAAAAGCAAAGGGCCUUCUAUGAAGGACAAAACUUGCAGAAUUGGGUGUGUGGGAGAGCAAAAAAAUACUGUAGAUCUUCAAAGAGCAUCUCCACAACCCACAGCCUUCUUCCCAAUAGUGUUAACUCUGCAUUUUUACAGCGUAGCAUGUGUGUAGUCUUUGGCUAUUACUGGUGUAUUAUUUGGGGGAGGAAUGGGGAGGGGAGAAAGGGAGAUGGGUAGCAUCACUUUGAUUAACAUUUGGGGCCUGAUAGGGGAAAUGGUGAAGCAAUGGAAAAGAACAGACAACUAAUGAUUUGCUUCUAUGUCCAGAAUAUUUUACCUUAAAAAAAAAAAAAUGUCAUUGGCACCAUAAAUAAGGACUGUGAGAGACUGUUUAAAAACUGUGAAUGUCUGAAACCUAUAAGCCAAGGUGUUCCCUGCCUAAACUUAUUGCUGUUCCCACAAAGGACUAAGCCAUUUCAUAAGUUACCAAAGUUGCCAUUUUGGAGAUGGAAAUUGAUGAGGAGGGAAAGUCUUUCAUUGGAGAGUAUACAGUACAAGCAGAUCAUUCUGUCUCAGAGGUGCUAAUAAAAUUAGAAGACCCUUUCUUUUCCAGUAACGAAGUUAUAAAUAUCAGCUUGUUCAUCCAAGCCACUGGCUGAGGUGUUAGGGAAGAGGAAGAGGGUGGUAGAGGAGAUAAGACAGUAGGGAAAGACAAGGGCCCAUGCUUUUAGUGGGGAAAACUCUUGGAGCCGUUCUCUUUUUUGAGCUUUGAACUCUGAAACCAUUGUUGGCUUCAGUCACUGACAGCACAAGUUUCACUGAAUUGAUCUAAGAGUUUAGUGAUUUCAAAAGCCUUGGUCUCAGGAGAAGAUUAAACUUCCAUAUUGGGCAGUGGUUCACUUAAAAACACACACACACACACAAUUUUUUAAGAAAUCCUAAGAAGUAACUGAUACCCAAAAUGCUCUGUCUUGAGUCAUGAGAUUCAUCAGUUCUUGAUAUUGUCUAGACUUGCAUCUAGAGCUACAUUGUAAAAUCCUUUUAGGCAUGUGUUAGAUUUCUGUGUAAACUUUGUUUAAAUGUAAACUUCAUACUACACUGUCAGUUUUUGUCUUAAUAAAACUAUAGGUUUAUA
RNA transcript from Mandrillus leucophaeus (drill), 2069 nucleotides. It is a transcript of the gene named chromobox protein homolog 1 pseudogene, with no coding region annotated. The record is from RefSeq and is a predicted model, not a curated record. NCBI's taxonomy places the organism in Eukaryota, Metazoa, Chordata, Mammalia, Primates, Cercopithecidae. The transcript has a single exon.